Molecule: ribosomal RNA, 539 nt
Filed under: uncultured bacterium
Lineage: Bacteria
Description: bacterial SSU rRNA
Rfam family: Bacterial small subunit ribosomal RNA
Source: RNAcentral
UAGGGAAUAUUCCACAAUGAGCGAAAGCUUGAUGGAGCGGCACAGCGUGCACGAUGAAGGUCUUAUGGAUUGUAAAGUGCUGUUGCAAGGGAAGAAAAAGUAGUUGAGGAAAUGCUUCUACAUUGACGGUACCUUGUUAGAAAGCGAUGGCUAACUAUGUGCCAGCAGCCGCGGUAAUACAUAGGUCGCAAGCGUUAUCCGGAAUUAUUGGGCGUAAAGCGUUCGUAGGCUGUUUAUUAAGUCUGGAGUCAAAUCCCAGGGCUCAACCCUGGCUCGCUUUGGAUACUGGUAAACUAGAGUUGGAUAGAGGUAAGCGGAAUUCCAUGUGAAGCGGUGAAAUGCGUAGAUAUAUGGAAGAACACCAAAGGCGAAGGCAGCUUACUGGGUUUAUACUGACGCUGAGGAACGAAAGCGUGGGGAGCAAACAGGAUUAGAUACCCUGGUAGUCCACGCCGUAAACGAUGAUCAUUAGUCGGCAGAGAACUGUUGACGCAGCUAACGCAUUAAAUGAUCCGCCUGAGUAGUAUGCUCGCAAGAGU